Long non-coding RNA from Macadamia integrifolia, 1015 nucleotides. RefSeq lists it as uncharacterized. The transcript is spliced from 2 exons. NCBI's taxonomy places the organism in Eukaryota, Viridiplantae, Streptophyta, Magnoliopsida, Proteales, Proteaceae. The record is from RefSeq and is a predicted model, not a curated record.
CUCGAGCCAGCACAAUCUUUUGUGCAUCCUCACCGACCCUGCCUUCUCUGUCCCACGCGGAAGCAUUUGAUCGCGAAAGCCACCCUGCGAAGCCUUCAGACCCUCAGUGAACUGGCCUUUCUAUCUCUUUCUACCCUAUCUUAUGUCUACCCUCUCGUGAAUGAAAGUCCCAACCACGGCCGGGGGAAACCGGGAAACUCCUUUUUCGUGAACUGAAAAAGAUCCAAAUUUGAAAAGUUCCACUUUUCCAGAAACAAAUGCUCGUGAUUUCAUCUUUGUUGAGGGGUUUUGAAUUCCAACCAGGAAUUCGAUUCGUCGAUAUUGAUUGAUUUGUUGCUGGGGAGAAGAUCGAUUGGAACUAUGACUCUGUGAAGAUCAGACCGAGUCAAAUCUGAAUUUUUGAGAUUUAAUUUCUUUGGUUCUUGGUGGCCGGCGGCGGCGACGAUGGGAAAAGGAGAAGAUAAAAGGAGGGAGAAAGAUUCGUCGGAGGACGAAGAAGAGUGUGAGGUGGAAGAGAUCAAGGAUGAGAUCGAUUCUUCCAACAGAAACCGAUACUUUCAGCUUAUGACCGAGUUGAGAUUAACUCCGAUGAGGCUCAGUGGUGGAAUCAAAGGCUUCGUCAUUGAGAGAUAAUACCCCUAUUAACUAACUUAAUCUAUCAUUUAUUACGAAACUUCCGGUGAUUUUGUUCGUUAAUUCCGUAAAGCUUGGCGCCAUCUCCGUCCUUGCGGUGUAUGUGGUGGAUUAACUACCCACCGUUAAUUGGAACCUCAAGAGUUCAGAGUUGCGAUUCGCGAUAGGCUGGAAAAAGAAGAAGAAGAAGGUGGUCCCUCACCCUCCCUCGUACCCUGGUUAGCUGGUUUAUCAUGCUUGAGGGUCAGACAAGACCCAACAAUGGGCAUCAGAGGUCCACACAACAGUGGACCAACUUGGAUUGAUUCGGUUUAGUCUAAAGCGCACACUUUUUCUGUUUUGAGUCAAUCUAUCCAAGUGGUGGCGCCUAAUUUAAUGAAAA